GACAAACUGGCCCGAUCAAGUGGUGAGUUUGUUGCUCGAUACUGUCAGAGAAAGAGAGAAAAUUUGGAAUACCAAAAGUGAGCGCUACAAAAACAGAAAUAUGAAGAAUGCACACUACCAGGAAAUACUGCAGGCAAUCAAAGUUCAACUGCCAAACGUUGAUUUGCCAAGCAUCAAAGCAAAGAUAGAGCUUAAGAACAUUUUAUAGUGAAGAAGUUGGAAAAAUAAGAAAAAGCCGAGGUACAGGAGUUGGGGCUCGUGAAGUUUAUGUAUCAAAAUGGAAGUUUAUUGACCAGUGCAGUUUCUCGGAUGAAGUUAUAUCACACAAUCGUCAAGUAUUUACAAAUGCUAUUGAUGAACGUUUUGCACAAGACAGAGAAAACCAAUUAAAUGAUUCAAUUAUUGAUAAUGAAGAUACAGGAAGUGAAUGUAGUUUUAUUUCAAGCUCAAAGAAGAGAAAACAAUCACAUAGUCCAUUUCUUGAGUCAGCAGCAUCUGCCUUGAACCAGUUGGCAAAAUGAGCAACAUCUGCUCCUGAAGACCAGUGGGAUAUUUUUGGUAAAGAUGUGGCACAUGCAAUGCGUGGUCUGGCAGAUAAAGAUAUACAAAGACUUAUCAAGUUUGCCAUACAAUCAACUAUUUUUCAGGCCACAGAGCCCCCACGGGCUCAAUAACAACAAUUUAAUCAAGCAGAUUAAUCAAUAAAUAAUCAGUUUCAACCACGUUUUAUUAAACUAGGGUAUUUUAAAUGAACAUGUUUCAAUGAUUAAACUUCUACAUCAAAA
This is a long non-coding RNA of Xenia sp. Carnegie-2017, 785 nucleotides long. RefSeq lists it as uncharacterized. The record is from RefSeq and is a predicted model, not a curated record. The transcript is spliced from 2 exons. NCBI's taxonomy places the organism in Eukaryota, Metazoa, Cnidaria, Anthozoa, Malacalcyonacea, Xeniidae.